UGCCUGGUAGUGGGGGAUAACGCUCGGAAACGGACGCUAAUACCGCAUACGUCCUACGGGAGAAAGCAGGGGACCUUCGGGCCUUGCGCUAUCAGAUGAGCCUAGGUCGGAUUAGCUAGUUGGUGAGGUAAUGGCUCACCAAGGCGACGAUCCGUAACUGGUCUGAGAGGAUGAUCAGUCACACUGGAACUGAGACACGGUCCAGACUCCUACGGGAGGCAGCAGUGGGGAAUAUUGGACAAUGGGCGAAAGCCUGAUCCAGCCAUGCCGCGUGUGUGAAGAAGGUCUUCGGAUUGUAAAGCACUUUAAGUUGGGAGGAAGGGCAUUAACCUAAUACGUUGGUGUCUUGACGUUACCGACAGAAUAAGCACCGGCUAACUCUGUGCCAGCAGCCGCGGUAAUACAGAGGGUGCAAGCGUUAAUCGGAAUUACUGGGCGUAAAGCGCGCGUAG
RNAcentral lists this ribosomal RNA (452 nucleotides) under Pseudomonas sp. SCN501. RNAcentral describes it as "bacterial SSU rRNA". It matches the Rfam family "Bacterial small subunit ribosomal RNA", at positions 127 to 574 of the family's 1533-position model. Lineage: Bacteria; Pseudomonadati; Pseudomonadota; Gammaproteobacteria; Pseudomonadales; Pseudomonadaceae. The record is from RNAcentral.